UACGGAAGGCAGCAGUGGGGAAUAUUGCACAAUGGGUGAAAGCCUGAUGCAGCUAUGCCGCGUGUAUGAAGAAGGCCUUAGGGUUGUAAAGUACUUUCAUCGGGGAGGAAAAACAAAACUAAUAAUUUUAUUUCUUGACGUUACCCGAAAAAGAAGCACCGGCUAACUCCGUGCCAGCAGCCGCGGUAAUACGGAGGGUGCUAGCGUUAAUCAGAAUUACUGGGCGUAAAGAGCACGUAGGUGGUUUUUUUAAGUCAGAUGUGAAAUCCCUGGGCUUAACCUAGGAACUGCAUUUUGAAACUGAAAUACUAGAGUAUCGUAGAGGGAGGUAGAAUUCUAGGUGUAGCGGUGAAAUGCGUAGAUAUCUGGAGGAAUACCUGUGGCGAAAGCGGCCUCCUAAACGAAUACUGACACUGAGGUGCGAAAGCGUGGGGAGCAAACAGGGAUUAGAUACC
RNAcentral lists this ribosomal RNA (455 nucleotides) under uncultured bacterium. RNAcentral describes it as "bacterial SSU rRNA". It matches the Rfam family "Bacterial small subunit ribosomal RNA", at positions 340 to 786 of the family's 1533-position model. The record is from RNAcentral.